This 550-nucleotide ribosomal RNA is filed under the name uncultured bacterium. RNAcentral describes it as "bacterial SSU rRNA". It matches the Rfam family "Bacterial small subunit ribosomal RNA", at positions 355 to 896 of the family's 1533-position model. The record is from RNAcentral.
UAGGGAAUCUUCGGCAAUGGACGGAAGUCUGACCGAGCAACGCCGCGUGAGUGAAGAAGGUUUUCGGAUCGUAAAGCUCUGUUGUAAGAGAAGAACGAGUGUGAGAGUGGAAAGUUCACACUGUGACGGUAUCUUACCAGAAAGGGACGGCUAACUACGUGCCAGCAGCCGCGGUAAUACGUAGGUCCCGAGCGUUGUCCGGAUUUAUUGGGCGUAAAGCGAGCGCAGGCGGUUAGAUAAGUCUGAAGUUAAAGGCUGUGGCUUAACCAUAGUACGCUUUGGAAACUGUUUAACUUGAGUGCAAGAGGGGAGAGUGGAAUUCCAUGUGUAGCGGUGAAAUGCGUAGAUAUAUGGAGGAACACCGGUGGCGAAAGCGGCUCUCUGGCUUGUAACUGACGCUGAGGCUCGAAAGCGUGGGGAGCAAACAGGAUUAGAUACCCUGGUAGUCCACGCCGUAAACGAUGAGUGCUANNNGUUAGACCCUUUCCGGGGUUUAGUGCCGCAGCUAACGCAUUAAGCACUCCGCCUGGGGAGUACGACCGCAAGGUUG